GAACGAUCCUCCUGCAGACGACUCCCACGCAUACUGCUCGUCAUCGUUGUGUUUGGUGAUGACCGUGACUUUCUCGGCCACCAAGUAGGCAGAAUAGAAACCCACUCCAAACU
Sinocyclocheilus anshuiensis is the source of this 113-nucleotide long non-coding RNA. RefSeq lists it as uncharacterized. Lineage: Eukaryota; Metazoa; Chordata; Actinopteri; Cypriniformes; Cyprinidae. The transcript has 3 exons. The record is from RefSeq and is a predicted model, not a curated record.